Molecule: small nuclear RNA, 23 nt
Filed under: Arabidopsis thaliana (thale cress)
Lineage: Eukaryota; Viridiplantae; Streptophyta; Magnoliopsida; Brassicales; Brassicaceae
Description: snRNA_15967
Source: RNAcentral
GGUUAGUCGAUCCUAAGAGUCGG